Molecule: ribosomal RNA, 672 nt
Filed under: uncultured archaeon
Lineage: Archaea
Description: bacterial SSU rRNA
Rfam family: Archaeal small subunit ribosomal RNA
Source: RNAcentral
CGUAGUCAACCUGCCCUGGAGACAAGGACAACCCCGGGAAACUGGGAUUAAUCCUUGAUAGGUCAUCUCAUCUGGAAGGAGAGAUGGCUUAAAGGGGUGCGCGGGCUUCUUCCGCGAAUCCGCUCCAGGAUGGGACUGCGUCCGAUCAGGCUGUUGGCGGGGUAAUGGCCCACCAAACCUGUAACCGGUACGGGCCUUGAGAGAGGUGGCCCGGAGAUGGACACUGAGAGAAGGGUCCAGGUCCUACGGGGCGCAGCAGGCGCGAAACCUUCGCAAUGCGCGAAAGCGUGACGAGGUUAAUCCGAGUGACUCCCGCUGAGGGGGUCUUUUGUCAGCUGUAAAUAGGCAGGCGAAUAAGGGGAGGGCAAGCCUGGUGUCAGCCGCCGCGGUAAUACCAGCUCCUCGAGUGGUCGGGGCGAUUAUUGGGCCUAAAGCAUCCGUAGCCGGUUCCGUAGGUCCUCUGUUAAAUCCAACCGCUUAACGGUUGACCUGCAGAGGAUACCGCGGGACUAGGAGGCGGGAGAGGCGGACGGUACUCCGCGUGUAGGGGUAAAAUCCUUUGAUCCGCGGAAGACCACCAGUGGCGAAGGCGGUCCACCAGAACGCGCUCGACGGUGAGGGAUGAAAGCUGGGGGAGCGAACCGGAUUAGAUACCCGGGUAGUCCCAGCCGU